Molecule: long non-coding RNA, 423 nt
Filed under: Mytilus galloprovincialis (Mediterranean mussel)
Lineage: Eukaryota; Metazoa; Mollusca; Bivalvia; Mytilida; Mytilidae
Source: RNAcentral
UACAUGUACAUGUGUGCAGGUUAAAAUUAUGGCUUACAUGAAAGUCUAAUCCUGAAUAAAUCAACACUGACAGUACAAUAACUGGACAGGCUAUCUUUAAAACAAAAGUUUUUAGCUUAAACAUAGAUCUUGAUUCCAAAAAUAAUACAAAUUAAGUCUUUCAAAACGUACCUGAAGUUGUUUACUAUACAAAGUUUUACUCUCAACCGGGAUCCAAGAAAGAAUAAGCAAAGUUCUGAGGGUUGCUAAAAAUCAGAAAGGUUAAAAUUUGCUUAUGAGGAAACACCAACUCUUCAUUGAGAAUUUGAACUAUUUAUUUCCUGAUUCGGAACUACACUAUAGUUUUACCAACAUCCAAAACACUACAUGUCAAUUAUGCAACAUAUGUUCCAAGAGUGCAACAGGUGACAUAAACAACUAACC